RNAcentral lists this ribosomal RNA (468 nucleotides) under uncultured bacterium. RNAcentral's name for it is "partial 16S ribosomal RNA". It matches the Rfam family "Bacterial small subunit ribosomal RNA", at positions 28 to 507 of the family's 1533-position model. The record is from RNAcentral.
GACGAACGCUGGCGGCGUGCUUAACACAUGCAAGUCGAACGGAAAGGCCCUGCUUUUGUGGGGUGCUCGAGUGGCGAACGGGUGAGUAACACGUGAGUAACCUGCCCUUGACUUUGGGAUAACUUCAUGAAACUUGGUCUAAUACCGGAUAGGAGCUCCUGCUGCAUGGUGGGGGUUGGAAAGUUUCGGCGGUUGGGGAUGGACUCGCGGCUUAUCAGCUUGUUGGUGGGGUAGUGGCUUACCAAGGCUUUGACGGGUAGCCGGCCUGAGAGGGUGACCGGCAACAUUGGGACUGAGAUACGGCCCAGACUCCUACGGGAGGCAGCAGUGGGGAAUAUUGCACAAUGGGCGGAAGCAUGAUGCAGCAACGCCGCGUGCGGGAUGACGGCCUUCGGGUUGUAAACCGCUUUCGCCUGUGACGAAGCGUGAGUGACGGUAAUGGGUAAAGAAGCACCGGCUAACUACGUG